GGCGAGGUCGGCGAGGGCGCGGAGCGCACCGGCGUUCCCGCCGUCGGCGGCGCGGCGCCACCAGCGUUCGGCGUCGGCGAGUUCGCCGC
This 89-nucleotide transfer RNA is filed under the name Actinocatenispora rupis. RNAcentral describes it as "tRNA-Gly". The record is from RNAcentral. Lineage: Bacteria; Bacillati; Actinomycetota; Actinomycetes; Micromonosporales; Micromonosporaceae.